GUGGGGAAUAUUGGACAAUGGGCGCAAGCCUGAUCCAGCCAUGCCGCGUGAGUGAUGAAGGCCUUAGGGUUGUAAAGCUCUUUCACCGAUGAAGAUAAUGACGGUAGUCGGUGAAGAAGCCCCGGCUAACUUCGUGCCAGCAGCCGCGGUAAUACGAAGGGGGCUAGCGUUGUUCGGAUUUACUGGGCGUAAAGCGCACGUAGGCGGUUUGUUAAGUCAGAGGUGAAAUCCCGGAGCUCAACUCCGGAACUGCCUUUGAUACUGGCAAGCUAGAGUCCGGAAGAGGUAAGUGGAACUCCUAGUGUAGAGGUGGAAUUCGUAGAUAUUAGGAAGAACACCAGUGGCGAAGGCGGCUCACUGGUCCGGUACUGACGCUGAGGUGCGAAAGCGUGGGGAGCAAACAGGAUUAGAAACCCCAGUAGUCC
Molecule: ribosomal RNA, 425 nt
Filed under: uncultured bacterium
Lineage: Bacteria
Description: partial 16S ribosomal RNA
Rfam family: Bacterial small subunit ribosomal RNA
Source: RNAcentral